RNA transcript from Cucurbita maxima (winter squash), 6546 nucleotides. It is a transcript of the gene named autophagy-related protein 2, with no coding region annotated. The record is from RefSeq and is a predicted model, not a curated record. Lineage: Eukaryota; Viridiplantae; Streptophyta; Magnoliopsida; Cucurbitales; Cucurbitaceae. The transcript has 14 exons.
GUUCAUAUAAUAAAAAGGCAAACUUGAAAAUUUCCCGGACAAAAUUGGCCAUUUUCACGUAAUCGUCAAGCAAAACGAAUAUUUUCAAUUCAUCGGAGGCUCGGCGAAUUCCAUUGGUGUACGAGUUUGAUGAUCAAAGAUUAUUGAUCAUCGUUCUAUUUUCGUUGUGUUGCUCUAGAUGGGGAUUUCUUUCCCAUCGUGGGCGACGGCGAAUUUCAAAACCCUAAUCAAAUUUCUUUAUGCCCUCAACUGAUUCCUCUCGUAAUUUGAUCAUUUCGACGCGUUAUUACCUGCAGUACCAGCCAUGUUUACGUGGAACAUAGCGAAGACGGCGGAGGCGAUGUUCUCGAAAUUCGCCGUCAAGAGAUUGUGCAAGUUUUUACUGAAAAAGAAAUUGGGGCAGUUUUUAUUGGGGGAAAUUGAUAUCGAUCAGCUGGACGUGCAGCUUGCUGACGGCACAAUUCAGCUCAGCGACUUGGCGCUUAACGUUGAUUUUCUCAAUGAGAAGGUUGGCACAGCAGCUUUGGUUACUUUCAAAGAAGGAUCUAUUGGGUCUUUAUUAAUUAGAAUGCCAUGGACGAGUAGAGGCUGUGAGGUAGAAAUCAAUGGUUUGGAGCUUGUGCUUUCCCCAUGCUUGAGUAAUGAUCGUAUGGAUUGCUGUGGAACUUCUAGUGGUGGUCAUAAGAACCAUCAUGAAUCGAGAAAGUCAGAGCAUUUUGUUGCGAAAAGUGCUGUAAAAUCUACCUAUGGGGAUAUCCAUGAAGGUGUGAAGACUGUUGCAAAGAUGGUGAAAGGGCUGCUUGCGAGCUUUCACGUGAAGAUAAUAAACUUGAUAGUUGCAUUUGAUUCUUUUUAUGAUGAAAGCAAAAACAAAACAGGAUUGGAUACCACACUUGUUCUUCGGAUUUCAGAUGUAGAAUGCGGAACUUGUGUUACAGAGGAUGGUAAAUUGGAUAUGGAUGCAGCUGAAAGCUUUCUUGGAAUAAGUCAACUGAGUAACUUUGUAAAGUUUCAAGGGGCAAUGGUCGAGUUUCUUCACAUGGAUGAUUGUGACAAUCCAAAAUCCAUUUCAUGUAUGUCUGCAGGAACAUCUGCUGAAAUGGCAUUAGACCAUGUGCCAUCAAAUGUUACCAUUCCAGUUCUGACAGGUGGAGUGGGGGGAUUUUCAGGUAACCUGAAAUUACGUAUACCUUUGAGGGAUGGUUCCUUAGACAUUUAUAGAGUGGAUGGGGAUCUUUUCAUUGAUCCUGUACAGGUAAAACUUCAACCUAGAACAAUCAAAUGUUUUUUAGUUUUAUCUGAAGCUUAUUGGAAUUCCGACAAGAAUGGUGAUGGACAUGGAUGCAAACAUAAUAAGUUGAAUGAAUCUGGUUACUUGGAUCGGGCAUCUCACGACCAUUCAUUUACGCUAGCUUCUGCUGAAAGGACUCCUGAUGAAACCUCCUCCCCCCAUUGUGGUGGAAUUCUGCCUGGCUCUCACCUUAUAUCAAAUUGGGUGCCAUCCUCUGUUAAACAUAGAGAGAAAGAAAAAGUUGAAGAAGAAUUUGACUUCGGAGCAAGUGUGGACCAGUUUUUUGAAUGCUUAGAUGAAAUAAGAAGUUCCCAGUCUGCUUUAGGCAGCAGUGGGGUGUGGAACUCUGUUUUUAGUGCAAUCACUGCUGCGUCCAGCCUUGCUUCUGGAUCUUUACCCAUUCCUUGUGAUACAGAAUUGCAGCCUGUUGAAACAAACCUUAGGGCAACUAUCUCUGGAAUUUCUGUCGUUAUUUCCUUCCAUGAUGACAAUCAGUAUCAUUUCACUGACCCUGAGAAAGUACAGAUCAAAACUGACUCGGAGGUUCAUUUUGUGGCUGCUAAAUUCAGUGAUAUCCAUUUUCUUAUGCAGGUAUCUCAAAAAACGAGUUUUCAAGGAACUAUCAAGCAUAUUGAGGUUGCUGAUUAUUUGAACUGCAAAAAUUAUUCCUCAAAAUCUGACUUCCAUAAUAGUAACAGUGACUUCCAGACACUUCUGACGAAGCAUCUGCAAGUGGAUGUUAUAGGUGCUCUCCCUCCAUUUAAUUUUUCAGCUGAAGAUCCUAAUAAUGUGGAAUCAAAUAGUUCAUUCAAUAUGGAUUUUCCAUGUGAAAACAAGGACAAUGUUACAAAAAUUACAUUGUUGAAAACGUAUGGCAUCACUUCGUCCCAGUUGAAUGUGAUCUCUAGUUCUUCUGGUGAUAAUAGUACUAUGUCAAAAUCAUUUUCAUUGAAUCUACCACCCUUCAUUUUGUGGGUGAACUAUACUUUGGUAAACAUGCUACUGGAUUUACUAAGGGGUGUUGCAAACUGUAUACCUGGUGAUAACAACCACAAGUGCUUUAAGGAUAACUAUGUAUCGGAUCACAAGAAUGUCAAAAGCGGCUGUAAUCAAGUUACAGCUUUGGCUUCAUCUGCAAGCGUGCAGGGAAAUAUAAUAAUCGCCAAGGCCAGGGUAAUAUUCUGUUUCCCAUUUGAAAGUGACAAGGACUUUAUGGGAUACUCUUCCUGGGAUCAAUUUAUUGCUCUUGAUUUUUAUUCCCCUCCAAUCACAAAGGAGGAAACAAUUCACAGUGGUAACUUGGCGCUGCAGAAAAGUUAUUUUUCAGAAAAAAAUGCUUUGCAUUUCAGAUUUGGUAGUCUUGGGGUUUUCUUGGUCACUUCUGAUGAAGAGAUAAAACAGGGCAGCACAUGCAACGUGCAAAGGAAAAAAAUUUCAGCUCAUAACAUUUUGUCUGCCUCCAACAGAACAAAUGCUUCUUCUUUAACAUUUUUUUGGCAGGAAGGUCAUGUCACAGGUCCAUGGAUUGCAAAGAAGGCCAAGUCAUUAGCUAGUCUAGAGGAAUCAGAAAGCAGGUGUAAGUUCAUUGGAAAAGAUUACGAGUUUGCUUCCGUUGCUAAUAUGAAAGAUAUGGAGGAGUCUAACUUGCAGACUCGACAAGAAAUGAUUUUGAGCUCCACAUCAGUGUUGUAUGUGUUUCUCCCUCUUGUCAGAAUCAAUGCUGGUGCUGUUCAAUAUAAAGUCUUUAAUUAUCUUUUAGAUCAGUUGAUAAAAGGAUUGUCAAGUGAUACUUGUGAUGCAGUUGAUGUUACAAAAGGAUCCGUAACAUCUCAAAAAUCGAUUGUAGUUGAUUGCAAUUGUGUAGAAAUUUCCAUUAGGCCAGAUUCAAAUGAGAGUGUUAAGUGCUCUUUGCAGAGAGAACUUCCUGGAUCAUGGUAUCAUCUAAGACUGGAAAUUCAAAACUUCGAACUAAUCUCUGUCUCCGACCUUGGAAGUAUCGAGGGUGCCAAUUUCUUUUGGCUAUCCCAUGGAGAAGGACAAUUGCUGGGUUUCAUAUCUGAAGAUCCUGAUCAGGAGUUUCGUUUGAUCUCAUGUAGCAACUCUAACAUGAAGCGUGGGGAUGGGGAAGGUUCAAAUGCUUUAUCUUCAAGGUUAGCUGGUUGUGAUAUUGUGCAUAUGUGGGAUCCCGAGUGCUUACAGGAUUUUUCUUCUAUAACAAUAAGAUGUGCAACAAUUCUGGCUAUAGGUGGUCGAUUGGAUUGGUUAGAUGUCAUCUGCUCCUUUUUCCUUUUGCCCUCUUCUCCAGUUGAACCAGAAGGUGACAAGGUUAUGCCCAGAGAGAAUACAAAAAAGUCUUCAGGGUCUAAUUUUUUUCUUAACUUUGUUGAUGUUGGGUUGAGCUAUCAACCGUACUUGAAGAAUUUGCUAGGCAAUAGCAGACUCUCUCGAACAGAAUCCAGUUCUUCUACCAUCAAACAAGAGUUGGAUGAUGAUUAUGUUGCUUGCCUGCUGGCUGCAUCCUCAGUAACACUAUCAAGUUCUAGUGUGGCAGAUACAGUUGAAGAUAAUUUCAGAAUCACAAUACAAGAUAUUGGACUUCUUCUAUGUAGUGUCUCUGAUUAUGAGCAUGUUUUUAAUGCUUACAGUGUUGAAGAUCUGCGCAAGGGAGGCUGGGUUAAGGUUGCCAGGGAGACAUUUAUUGAAGCAAUAUUGAGAACUAACUGUGAUAAUGGCCUCAAGUGGGAGUUAGAAUGUCACAAAGCCCACGUUUUCGUGGAAACAUGCAAUGACACUACUACUGGUCUGGUACGUUUGGCUGCUCAACUUCAGCAACUAUUUGCCCCUGAUCUUGAGGAAUCGAUUGUUCAUUUGCAGACAAGAUGGAAUAAUGUCCAACAAGCACAAGAGAGAAAGGAGAUUGACAAUGAAUCAUCUUCUCCUCCAUGUCACAAUCCAUCAGUUAAACAAAGUGAAACUGGGUUAAUGGAUGAAAUAUGUGAAGAUGCGUUUCUAUUAAAUAAAAACCAAACCAGAGAAUGUGAUUGUUUUUCAUCCACUGAAGGUCUUCAUACUGAGGUAUGCAGGUUGAAUUCUGAGGUUCAUGAAACUUCUUCUCCCAUUCAUUCCUUCAUUGGCUCAGAGCCUGAUGGUCAAACAUCUUUCAUACAAUACCUCAAGUUUCCUGAAAUAAUAGAAGGAUAUUGCCUGUCUGAGUUUCGUCCUGUAUCAGAUCUAACAAUGGGCCAAGAAUUACCUCCCGAUAUUUGUAAUUCCAGGAAUUCUAGUAGUAUAGAUCUUGAAGGACGAAGAAGUGGAUGGUACGGGAACUUGCCUAUAAAAAUUCUUGAAAACCACAUUUUAGAUGCAAGUAGAGUUGAACACUCGGUAACUGAUGAUCUUUGUUCUAUCGAGAGCAAAAGACUUGAUGAGGUUGAAGAGGCAUGUGGACGUGUACUUCUUAAUAAUAUCGAUUUGAAAUGGAGAAUGUAUGCUGGUUCUGAUUGGCAAGUUUCUAGAGAGAAUGGUGAUCGACCAAUGAGUAUGGUUAAAAGAGAUCAACACACAUGUCUAGAGCUUGCAUUAUCUGCCAUGCAUGUUCAAUAUGAUGUUUUUCCUAUGGGUGGAAUGUGUGUAUCUAGACUUUCACUUUCAGUUCAAGAUUUUCAUCUUUAUGACAGCAGUGCAGAUGCACCUUGGAAGCUGGUACUGGGAUAUUACAAUUCAAAGAAUCAUCCUCGUAAGUCUUCGUCAAAAGCAUUCAAGCUCGACUUAGAAGCUAUUAGACCAGAUCCUUUGAUCCCUCUUGAGGAAUACCGGUUGCGUGUUGGUUUUCUGCCUAUGCUAUUGCAUCUUCAUCAAUGCCAACUUGAUUUUCUUGUUAAUUUUUUUGGGGAAAAAAGUUCAUCAGGAAACCAGUCUGGUCAUUCACUUGAUUCAGAUGGUUCAAAAACUAUUUCUACGACCAAAAGUGAUGCUGGGCUUAAUUUGGCAGAGGAGGCAUUGCUUCCUUAUUUUCAGAAGUUUGACAUACAACCAAUUGUAGUCCGUGUUGAUUACAGUCCAAGUCGUGUUGAUUUGGCUGCGUUAAGAGGUGGGAAGUACGUUGAACUUGUAAAUCUGGUUCCUUGGAAGGGGGUUGAGCUACACCUUAAGCAUGUGCAGGCUGUUGGAGUCUAUGGUUGGGGCAGUGUAUGUGAAACAGUUGUAGGUGAAUGGCUGGAAGAUAUUUCUCAUAAUCAGAUUCGUAAAAUACUGGAGGGCCUUCCUACAGUCAGGUCAUUAGUUGCUGUUGGCUCUGGUGCCUCAAAACUCUUGUCUUCUCCAGUUGAGAGCUACAAAAAGGAUCGAAGAAUAUUAAAGGGGAUGCAAAGAGGUACUAUUGCAUUUCUCAGAAGUAUUUCCCUUGAAGCUAUUGGACUAGGGGUACACUUGGCUGCUGGGGCUCAUGACAUUUUGCUCCAGGCGGAAUAUAUACUCACUACUGUUCCUCCUUCAGUGAAAGUACGGCAUAAGACAAAGGCUAAUGUAAGAUCCAAUCAACCCAAGGAUGCUCAAGAAGGAUUGAAAAAGGCUUAUGAAAGCAUUAGUGAUGGCCUUGGGAAGUCUGCCUCUGCCUUGGUUCGGACUCCCUUGAAAAAGUAUCAACGUGGAGGCAGUACAGUGUCUGCUCUCGCAACUGCUGUUCAAGCAAUUCCAGCUGCCGCAAUAGCUCCAGCUUCUGCAUGUGCAAGCGCAAUACAUUACACUUUUCUUGGCUUGAGAAAUAGCCUGGAUCCCGAGCGCAAAAGAGAAUCCAUGGAGAAAUAUUUAGGUCCUACAGACUCGUGGGAACAGAAUUGAUGAGGCCAUGGAUGACUUCUGGAUAAAGUUUAAGCUUAAUUUCCCAAGGAGUCGUGAUUGCCGUCAGUCAUUGCAUUGUGCCUCGCCUUUAAAAAGAUCGUGACACACUCUUUUCAUAUUUGAAAAGAUGGACCUGGUGUAAAUAUGUACAGAAGAAAGAGUCUCGUAGGCAUUCUUUCCCCGUUCGAUGUAGAAGACGGAGAUUUGUACAUGAAUGUUAAAAUAUUCAACCAUGGUUAGAAAUUUUUUCGUACUGAUGGUGAUUAAGUUUGGUAAUUAGUUAUACCCUACUUUAUUCUUUGAGGAUUGAGCAAAUGUAUCUAGCUUUCUAAUUUGUGCAUAGCCCUGUAAAUACUUGAUGAUUUGUUUUCCAAGAUGUGCAUAGUUUUGUAAAUAUUUGAUCAUUUGCUUUCCAA